This is a long non-coding RNA of Episyrphus balteatus (marmalade hoverfly), 1327 nucleotides long. RefSeq lists it as uncharacterized. NCBI's taxonomy places the organism in Eukaryota, Metazoa, Arthropoda, Insecta, Diptera, Syrphidae. The transcript is spliced from 3 exons. The record is from RefSeq and is a predicted model, not a curated record.
GGUCUGUUGGGCAGUUAGAUAAAUCUCAUCUGUUUAGGGAAAUGAAAUUACGUUGAUUAUAUCUGUUAUUAGUAUGUUAGAAAGUAACAGACGGGUAGGAAAUGUCCGGAGAUUAGUAAAUUUGGUAUUAAUGAGUAUUGGUAAAAUUAAAUGGUGAGAUUUAGAUAAUUGCGAUCCCAUUUUUCUCCAAAUCUGCAUAACUGAAGACUACUUGUUCAAAUCUCAGGCUGAAAAGAAUAUUUUUUUUUAAUUUGACUUUUUUUAUAUUUUUUAUUUUUUUCUUUAUGCUGUCAAUUUUUGCAAUGUUUUUUUGUUUUUCAAUUUAAGCCAAAAUUUAUGAAUAUGGUGUGAUUAUAUGGAAAAGUUUAAAAAUGUGUAUGAGAAGCAAAAAACGGUAAAUAUGAAAUUUUCGUGUUUCUGCCUGGGGUGAAGUCGUUAAAAAUUCAUUUCUUAGCCAAUUUUCAACCGAUUUUCUUGAAAAAUUUCAAGUACAUGCCUAAAAUCAAAUUGGAAAGGAUAAUAAUUGAAAAUUGACGACGCAAGAAUGAUUGCAAUGAGAGCACCGUGAAAUAUUAUCUUCCCUCAAAACGAAAAAAAAAAAACGACUCGCCAUUGAGGCUAUAGAGAGGUCCAAACGUAUUGAAAGAGGAAAGGAAAAAUUUAACUUCAUGAGUACAUUAACAAUAACCUGCAUGAAUACCAGUUCACGGCAGGUAUUUGAAAAAAUAUUUUCUGCAAGCUUCUGACGGCGAAUAGCGCUCUUAGCCAUAAAGUCCCAAAAGGUUCCAAGCUCAACAGAGGAGUUCAAAGCAACAGGCUAUGAGUUGGUAAGGAAUAUGAACCUAAUCCUCUCCAAUAUAAAGUCUGGUUUCUGUUUUAAAAAUAAAAAAAAAAUUAUUGAAUCAACAAAAAAAAUUAAAAUUUGGAACUGGAAAUGAUUCAAGGGUUGGAGUUAUUAAUCCCUUUGGCGUAGCAGGGAACUAAUUCCACUUAGAGAGUUUGAGUUAGUUCUCGCUCCGUGGGAACGAAAUAAUUUUUAGUAAACUGGAUUUAGUUCCUAUCCUAGAAGGAAUACCGGCGAUUUUAGAUUUCCAUUUUACAGAAGAGCUGCAACACAAAAUGACACUUACUAUAUAUAAACAUCCAACUUUUUAAUAGGCUUUUUUAGUAAUUCAAAAACAAAGCGAAGUUUAAAUAAAUUUAAAUUUGUAUUAAAACCUAUUAUACAAAAUAAUAUCGUAUAGUUUUUAUUGCUUAUAUUUUAUGUACAAAAUGUUAUUAAGAGUUUUUUAAACUAAGAAAUAAAAUUUAAAAAUGUCUAACAGUA